AACGAACGCUGGCGGCAUGCCUAACACAUGCAAGUCGAACGAUUGCCCUCGGGUGAUAGUGGCGCAUGGGUGGGUAACGCGUGGGAUUCUGCCCUUGGGAUCGGCAUAACAGCUGGAAACGGCUGCUAAUAACGGAUGCUAUUGCGAGAUCGAAGCUGUAUCGGCUUAGGAUGAGGUCGAGUGUGAUUAGGUAUUGGGUUGGGUACAGGCCUACCCAGCUGACGAUCCAUGGCUGGUCUGAGAGGAGGAUCAGCCAGACCGGGACUGAGACACGGCCCAGACUGCGACGGGGGGCAGCAGUAGGGAAUAUUAGACGAUGAGCGCAAGCCUGAUCCAGCAGUGCCGCGGGAGUGAUGAAGGCCCUAGGGUUGCAAAUCUCUUUUACCCGAGAAGAGAAUGACGGUACCGGGAAAAGAAGCCCCGGCUAACUACGUG
RNAcentral lists this ribosomal RNA (435 nucleotides) under uncultured bacterium. Its description in RNAcentral is "partial 16S ribosomal RNA". It matches the Rfam family "Bacterial small subunit ribosomal RNA", at positions 29 to 507 of the family's 1533-position model. The record is from RNAcentral.